AUAGCUCGGGGAAACUCGAAUUAAUACCGCAUACUACCUACGGGAGAGAGGGGGCAACUUGUUGGUCUCGCUAUUAGAUGAGCCUAAGUCGGAUUAGCUAGAUGGUGGGGUAAAGGCCUACCAUGGCGACGAUCUGUAGCUGGUCUGAGAGGAUGAUCAGCCACACCGGGACUGAGACACGGCCCGGACUCCUACGGGAGGCAGCAGUGGGGAAUAUUGGACAAUGGGGGCAACCCGUGAUCCAGCCAUGCCGCGUGUGUGAAGAAGGCCUUUUGGUUGUAAAGCACUUUAAGCAGUGAAGAAGACUCCAUGGUUAAUACCCAUGGACGAUGACAUUAGCUGCAGAAUAAGCACCGGCUAACUCUGUGCCAGCAGCCGCGGUAAUACAGAGGGUGCAAGCGUUAAUCGGAAUUACUGGGCGUAAAGCGAGCGUAGGUGGCUUGAUAAGUCAGAUGUGAAAUCCCCGGGGCUUAACCUGGGAACUGCAUCUGAUACUGUUAGGCUAGAAUAGGUGAGAGGAAGGUAGAAUUCCAGGUGUAGCGCUGAAAUGCGUAGAGAUCUGGAGGAAUACCGAUGGCGAAGGCAG
RNAcentral lists this ribosomal RNA (586 nucleotides) under Psychrobacter sp. Its description in RNAcentral is "bacterial SSU rRNA". It matches the Rfam family "Bacterial small subunit ribosomal RNA", at positions 143 to 724 of the family's 1533-position model. The record is from RNAcentral. Lineage: Bacteria; Pseudomonadati; Pseudomonadota; Gammaproteobacteria; Moraxellales; Moraxellaceae.